GAUGAACGCUGGCGGCGUGCCUAAUACAUGCAAGUCGAGCGAACGGACGAGAAGCUUGCUUCUCUGAUGUUAGCGGCGGACGGGUGAGUAACACGUGGAUAACCUACCUAUAAGACUGGGAUAACUUCGGGAAACCGGAGCUAAUACCGGAUAAUAUUUUGAACCGCAUGGUUCAAAAGUGAAAGACGGUCUUGCUGUCACUUAUAGAUGGAUCCGCGCUGCAUUAGCUAGUUGGUAAGGUGACGGCUUACCAAGGCAACGAUGCAUAGCCGACCUGAGAGGGUGAUCGGCCACACUGGAACUGAGACACGGUCCAGACUCCUACGGGAGGCAGCAGUAGGGAAUCUUCCGCAAUGGGCGAAAGCCUGACGGAGCAACGCCGCGUGAGUGGUGAAGGUCUUCGGAUCGUAAAACUCUGUUAUUAGGGAAGAACAUAUGUGUAAGUAACUGUGCACAUCUUGACGGUACCUAAUCAGAAAGCCACGGCUAACUACGUGCCAGCAGCCGCGGUAAUACGUAGGUGGCAAGCGUUAUCCGGAAUUAUUGGGCGUAAAGCGCGCGUAGGUGGUUUUUUAAGUCUGAUGUGAAAGCCCACGGCUCAACCGUGGAGGGUCAUUGGAAACUGGAAAACUUGAGUGCAGAAGAGGAAAGUGGAAUUCCAUGUGUAGCGGUGAAAUGCGUAGAGAUAUGGAGGAACACCAGUGGCGAAGGCGACUUUCUGGUCUGUAACUGACGCUGAUGUGCGAAAGCGUGGGGAUCAAACAGGAUUAGAUACCCUGGUAGUCCACGCCGUAAACGAUGAGUGCUAAGUGUUAGGGGGUUUCCGCCCCUUAGUGCUGCAGCUAACGCAUUAAGCACUCCGCCUGGGGAGUACGACCGCAAGGUUGAAACUCAAAGGAAUUGACGGGGACCCGCACAAGCGGUGGAGCAUGUGGUUUAAUUCGAAGCAACGCGAAGAACCUUACCAAAUCUUGACAUCCUUUGACAACUCUAGAGAUAGAGCUUUCCCCUUCGGGGGACAAAGUGACAGGUGGUGCAUGGUUGUCGUCAGCUCGUGUCGUGAGAUGUUGGGUUAAGUCCCGCAACGAGCGCAACCCUUAAGCUUAGUUGCCAUCAUUAAGUUGGGCACUCUAAGUUGACUGCCGGUGACAAACCGGAGGAAGGUGGGGAUGACGUCAAAUCAUCAUGCCCCUUAUGAUUUGGGCUACACACGUGCUACAAUGGACAAUACAAAGGGCAGCGAAACCGCGAGGUCAAGCAAAUCCCAUAAAGUUGUUCUCAGUUCGGAUUGUAGUCUGCAACUCGACUACAUGAAGCUGGAAUCGCUAGUAAUCGUAGAUCAGCAUGCUACGGUGAAUACGUUCCCGGGUC
Molecule: ribosomal RNA, 1371 nt
Filed under: uncultured bacterium
Lineage: Bacteria
Description: bacterial SSU rRNA
Rfam family: Bacterial small subunit ribosomal RNA
Source: RNAcentral